This 393-nucleotide ribosomal RNA is filed under the name uncultured bacterium. RNAcentral's name for it is "partial 16S ribosomal RNA". It matches the Rfam family "Bacterial small subunit ribosomal RNA", at positions 523 to 918 of the family's 1533-position model. The record is from RNAcentral.
AUACGGAAGGUCCGGGCGUUAUCCGGAUUUAUUGGGUUUAAAGGGAGCGCAGGCGGAGAUGCAAGCGUGACGUCAAAUUUCGGGGCUCAACCCCGUCUCGCGUCGCGAACUGCGUCCCUUGGUUGCGGGAAGGGGAGGCGGAACUCGUGGUGUAGCGGUGAAAAGCAUAGAUAUCACGAAGGACUCCGAUCGCGAAGGUAGCCUACCGUCCCGUCAACGACGCUCAUGCUCGAAGGUGCGGGUAUCAAACAGGAUUAGAAACCCUGGUAGUCGGCACAGUAAACGAUGGACACCCGCGGUUUGGCCUGUAUGGCGGAGCCGCCAAGCGAAAGCGUUAAGUGUCCCACCUGGGGAGUACGCCGGCAACGGUGAAACUCAAAUGAAGUGGCGGGG